GGGCUCACACAAGCGGUGGAGCAUGUGGCUUAAUUCGAAGCAACGCGAAGAACCUUACCCAGGUUUGACAUGCAUGGAUGUCUUGGUGGGAUAACCAUCAAGAUUGCCCGCAAGGGUGAAACAUGCACAGGUGUUGCAUGGCUGUCGUCAGCUCGUGCUGUGAAGUGUCGGGUUAAGUCCCUUAACGAGCGAAACCCUUGUCGCUAGUUGCCAGCGGGUCAUGCCGGGGACUCUAGCGAGACUGCCGGCGUUAAGCCGGAGGAAGGCGGGGAUGACGUCAAGUCAUCAUGGCCUUUAUGCCUGGGGAUGCACACGUGCUACAAUGGCGCGUACAAAGCGACGCAAGACCGCGAGGUGGAGCAAAUCGCAAAAAACGCGCCCCAGUUCGGAUUGGAGUCUGCAAUUCGACUCCAUGAAGUUGGAAUCGCUAGUAAUCGCAGAUCAGCUACGCUGCGGUGAAUGUGUUCCUGAGCCUU
Molecule: ribosomal RNA, 476 nt
Filed under: uncultured bacterium
Lineage: Bacteria
Description: bacterial SSU rRNA
Rfam family: Bacterial small subunit ribosomal RNA
Source: RNAcentral